UCUGGGUCUCCCUCGUUUCCUUUCCCCGGAACCCCUUAACUUGGGCGCUCGAUUCCUGGCUUCCCCUGGCGCCGAUCUCAUCUGUUGUUCAGACAUGACUGCUUGCAAGCAGACCGCAUCCACGGGCGCCGCCGCCACGUACGAGGCCGACAGCAAGUCGGCAGCAAAGAGCGAUGGAGCGGAGGAGCGGAAGCCCUCGACCAAGUGCAAGAAGGGGAAGAAGGCCAAGGGCAAGUUGGGGGUGAAGAGCGAUGGAGCGGAGAAGCCGAAGACCCAUGACCUUUCCGAUGUUACACGCGGGUUGGCGGUGAUGAGCAUUGCAACGGAGAAGUCGUUGGAUGAAGAGCUCGCCCAGCUCGCCCUGUUCACCUACCAGAACGACUUCUGGAUGGACAACUUCAAAGGCGUCUAUGACAAGCCGUCCGUAGAUGCUAUUAAAAGGAAAGCUGCUGAAAACUGGAAAUCCUUUAGCGAUUCGGACAAAGCCCCUUAUGUGGCCAUUGCACGUGUUUACAAAAUACUCAUUGCUGAGGCAAAUGAGUUCAAGAAGACACUGAAGUUGACGCUCGCGAUGACGGACAAGAUGAUGAAUCUGAAAAUGUGAACAGCCAAGAUCUCUAAGGUGUGUUUGAAUAGAAAUGUCUUGGUAGAUGGCAUAAUUACUGCAGCCAACUCCACAAAACCUGAUUCUGUCUGGGCCGCACUUGGAGGGUUGAGAUGCAGCGAUGGCUUCCUCCUCCAGUGAAGGUCUGCGGGGGGCUGUUGAGCCCUGGUAUAUCAUGCUAGCGGUCUACUGUUACUUGAAACAUAUGCGGUGAGAGAAGCACUUGCACUAGCUCCUGAUCUUAAUCUGCAAUUGUCAGGCGCUCAUCAAGGAAAUCCAUCAAGGGAGAGGCGGAAACAAUGGGGAGAUAAUCCGAGAAAUUUCCAUCACGGCGAAAGAGUUUCACUCUUGGUACUUUCAUUCAUGAAAAUAGGAAUUUUAAUUUUGAGGCUCUUUAUAUAGCCAAGUAUGCUUGUAAUCUAGCAUUAGGUCGUCAUUUGUUGUGAGGUGCUCCCCCUGACCAAGUUCUUGUACCCUUACACAUUGAUCAAUAAAGGUUACGAGAAUUCU
Triticum dicoccoides is the source of this 1114-nucleotide RNA transcript. It is a transcript of the gene named HMG1/2-like protein, with no coding region annotated. The transcript is spliced from 9 exons. NCBI's taxonomy places the organism in Eukaryota, Viridiplantae, Streptophyta, Magnoliopsida, Poales, Poaceae. The record is from RefSeq and is a predicted model, not a curated record.